This 358-nucleotide ribosomal RNA is filed under the name uncultured bacterium. RNAcentral describes it as "bacterial SSU rRNA". It matches the Rfam family "Bacterial small subunit ribosomal RNA", at positions 68 to 422 of the family's 1533-position model. The record is from RNAcentral.
UCCAUGCAGUGGCAACACUGCGGAAGACCUAGUGGCGAACGGGUGAGUAACACGUGAGGAACUUGCCCCGGAGACCGGGAUAAGCCCCCGAAAGGGGGUCUAAUACCGGAUGUCCUCACCGAGCCGCAUGGUUUGGUGAGGAAAUGGAUUCCGCUCCGGGAGAGCCUCGCGGCCUAUCAGCUAGUUGGUGGGGUAACGGCCCACCAAGGCGUCGACGGGUAGCUGGUCUGAGAGGACGAUCAGCCACACUGGGACUGAGACACGGCCCAGACUCCUACGGGAGGCAGCAGUGGGGAAUCUUGCGCAAUGGGCGAAAGCCUGACGCAGCAACGCCGCGUGCGGGAUGACGGCCCUCGGG